Long non-coding RNA from Numida meleagris (helmeted guineafowl), 512 nucleotides. RefSeq lists it as uncharacterized. NCBI's taxonomy places the organism in Eukaryota, Metazoa, Chordata, Aves, Galliformes, Numididae. The transcript has 3 exons. The record is from RefSeq and is a predicted model, not a curated record.
CUUUACUAUUGUGCUGAAGACCUACACAAAGUUAUUCAGAUACUUGAGUUGGUUGUGUUUGUUUAAUUUUAGGAACCUGUGACCAAACACAUGAAGCCUGACAACAUGAGCGUUGGACAAAGCUCAACAGCAGCGAGUCUUUCAGAUGCUGUUGAAUACUCCAGUUUCUCGAUCAACACUAACUGGCAAGGAAGUGUGCUAGUCGAGCAAUGACCAAAGGCUGCCGCUUAGCGAUGGAGCUCAGGAGCCGCGCUGGGAUAGCCGGGGCACCCAGAUCCACCUGUACAAGGUUCCAGGAUCCAAGCGCUGGGCAGAAUUUCCCCUCUCACCACAUCCUUACAAGGGUGAGGCAUGGAUGCAUCAUACACAGACUGAAUAGCCAAGACAGACAAGUUCUCCUGCAUGAAAGAAAGUGUAAAGAAGACAAUUUUAAUUUCAUUUUUUAAUGCAUGCAGUAAUGUUUUGUUUACCAUGAGGCAUAUUUCUCAUUAAAUAAGCUUUUUUUUUCCUGU